Molecule: long non-coding RNA, 354 nt
Organism: Suricata suricatta (meerkat)
Lineage: Eukaryota; Metazoa; Chordata; Mammalia; Carnivora; Herpestidae
Exons: 4
Source: RefSeq, a predicted model, not a curated record
GGGGGGAGUGUUCUUCUCUGCUGGGAGGACCUAGAGUUGGCUCACCCUUUUAGAGACGUCCAUGAUCAGCACCAGCUAACAGCUCCAGGCACAGAAAUAACCUAACUGAAGCCACAGGAGGGAGUGGGCUGCAGAAACGGAGAUCUGAGGGAUAGCCUGGCUCUGAGACGUUGUGCAGCUUCCUGUCUCAUGGCAAAAGGCUGUUGUGGAGGCAGAAGAUGGAAGAUUCUGGAGGAACAAGUAUUCAAUCUGCUAAUGAGAACUGUGUUCUCACUCCUGACUGAUAAUGUUGAUUUUUACCUGAGCCCCGCCCUCCUGGAAAACAGCAGCUCUUAAAGGAACCCCCACCCUUCG